Molecule: ribosomal RNA, 470 nt
Filed under: Streptomyces sp. A00050
Lineage: Bacteria; Bacillati; Actinomycetota; Actinomycetes; Kitasatosporales; Streptomycetaceae
Also listed under: 1 other name
Description: bacterial SSU rRNA
Rfam family: Bacterial small subunit ribosomal RNA
Source: RNAcentral
CCCUGCGCCGCUUACCGUGCAGUCGAACGAUGAACCACUUCGGUGGGGAUUAGUGGCGAACGGGUGAGUAACACGUGGGCAAUCUGCCCUUCACUCUGGGACAAGCCCUGGAAACGGGGUCUAAUACCGGAUAACACUGCGGAUCUCAUGGUCUGCGGUUAAAAGCUCCGGCGGUGAAGGAUGAGCCCGCGGCCUAUCAGCUUGUUGGUGAGGUAAUGGCUCACCAAGGCGACGACGGGUAGCCGGCCUGAGAGGGCGACCGGCCACACUGGGACUGAGACACGGCCCAGACUCCUACGGGAGGCAGCAGUGGGGAAUAUUGCACAAUGGGCGAAAGCCUGAUGCAGCGACGCCGCGUGAGGGAUGACGGCCUUCGGGUUGUAAACCUCUUUCAGCAGGGAAGAAGCGAAAGUGACGGUACCUGCAGAAGAAGCGCCGGCUAACUACGUGCCAGCAGCCGCGGUAAUACA